UACGGAAGGCAGCAGUGGGGAAUAUUGCACAAUGGGCGCAAGCCUGAUGCAGCCAUGCCGCGUGUAUGAAGAAGGCCUUCGGGUUGUAAAGUACUUUCAGUCGUGAGGAAGGUGUUAAGGUUAAUAACCUUAGCAAUUGACGUUAGCGACAGAAGAAGCACCGGCUAACUCCGUGCCAGCAGCCGCGGUAAUACGGAGGGUGCGAGCGUUAAUCGGAAUUACUGGGCGUAAAGGGCACGCAGGCGGUUAAUUAAGUUGGAUGUGAAAUCCCCGGGCUUAACCUGGGAAUGGCAUUCAAGACUGGUUAGCUAGAGUCUUGUAGAGGGGGUUAGAAUUCCAUGUGUAGCGGUGAAAUGCGUAGAGAUGUGGAGGAAUACCGGUGGCGAAGGCGGCCCCUGGACAAAGACUGACGCUCAUGUGCGAAAGCGUGGGGAGCAAAC
This 440-nucleotide ribosomal RNA is filed under the name uncultured bacterium. Its description in RNAcentral is "bacterial SSU rRNA". It matches the Rfam family "Bacterial small subunit ribosomal RNA", at positions 340 to 773 of the family's 1533-position model. The record is from RNAcentral.